UGAGACACCGUGCAGGACUGAAUACCCAAGUGCCCAAGGAUGGUGCCCUACCCGCUGCUGUGUCUCAUGGUCAUCUGUGGGGUUCAUAUUGGACAGGUUCACGCUCAGAAAGAGUGUAAUAAGUGUGACUUUAAGUUCUAUUCCCGGUGUAUGUUUACCGCCAGCCAGAGCGUCCAAUGCAUAGAUGACUCGUAUAACUGUGGAAAUAUUAAGUUCUUACUAGGAGGCCAGCACGUCUUUGACAAGUACGGAUGUAUUCCACAAACUGACUGCAAUAGAAGUGCCACAGUAUCUGGCGUGCUCAAUGCAUUCACGUACAACUCUACCUGCUGUUUAUCGAGUUUCUGCAAUGGGGCCUUCACAGCGCGAGCCCCCCACCUCCUCGUUUUAGGAACACUCAGUGCUUUUAUACUGUACAUUAUAUCUUGAAGCAAAUAAUGAUUCUGUGAAGGGUGUUUAGGGGCUCAUUAAUGUGACACAUUCAUGUCUACGUCAUUAUUUUGCCCACUACUUGGAAACAUAUGGGGUGAGGGUAUAACACUGUGCACACACAAGAUGUACUAGCUUAUAUAAAGGAUGAUUGCUCCAAAGCUGCUCAGUACAACCAUUGAGAUUUGUAUUUGGCUAUGUACAAUUAAAUUAAAGAGAACAUGUGAUUGGCUGCAUGGUUUCAGAGACAUACUCUCUGAUUGGAAGAGCAAUAUGAGCCUUGCUAUUUAUAGUGAAUUUAAAACAUUUUUCCUAUAGCUGAACUAAUAUGAUUUAUUCCAAAAACCUGGUUCAAUAAUAACCCAAACCACAAGUCCAGCAAGGGUAUGGCCAUGGGCACCAUCCUUGCCAGUAACUUGCCUAAAGAUGCCUGUAAUUUGAGCAAAGCCCCAGGUUGUGUCGUGUUAUAAUAUAUCACACUUUACAGGAUAGGUGGAUAUCAUUACAGACACAAGAUGGUAGUACUUCAGGGCAGGGUCUGGGUCAUCUUCCCCAUGAGUGAGAACCUUGCCUCAGAUGGAAACAUCAUAUGUUUGGCACAGACAAGGUUAUCGCCUAAUCUCCUGCCCUCUAACACUCCUCUACCCCAUGCCUGCACCACCCUAUUCACCAUUCAGUAAUUGAUUACAGACGUUGCACUAAAUGUUCUUCCUCUUUCACUACUCCAUCCACCAUGUCAUUCAGCGCUACAGCAGUGAGUGGCAUGGAGGAUGGGGUCUGGAUUGGGGGUGGGACGCUCCUGGCUGUUAGGUCCAUCACCUUCAAAUGCAAUUAGACAUAGACCCCCACAAAAUAGAUACCCUAGCACUAGCGCACGCAGGGGGGGUUUCUGAGUACCCAGAAACCCCCCCUGACAGACAAAAUUAUUUUUUAAGCAAAAAAACCCUGAGCCGCGGUCCGCUAUUUAGGCUCCGCCCCUCCAGAAUUUGGCCCCGCCCCUUCAAACACCUUGCCCAAGCUGUGCUGUGUGUGUAUUGGAAGCUGCUCUGAUUGCCUCAGUCCCCACUGGUUGCUGCUUCCUGUUACUACCCAGCCCACUGUCUGAUCUUCACUUGUAAGUGCAACAAUUAUACUUGCAUAUAUUUUUCAU
Molecule: long non-coding RNA, 1579 nt
Organism: Pseudophryne corroboree (corroboree frog)
Lineage: Eukaryota; Metazoa; Chordata; Amphibia; Anura; Myobatrachidae
Exons: 3
Source: RefSeq, a predicted model, not a curated record